UGCCAUGCGAGGCAGAUCCAAGAAUGUGUGCCUCGGCCGAAGGGGACGGCGCCUCAUGCGUCGGCAUGCUGCAAGGUUGACUAUUGCUUGGUUUCGGGCAUCUUAUGACAAUGCAUCGCCCACACCGUGCGUUGACAACCUAUUAGCACGCUCUUGCAUGGGGUUGGGCCCCAACAGCUUUGGUUGGAUCUUCCAUCCAUGUCUCGGCCUCGCCCUCUACGGCCAUCACAGCCGCAUAAAAUUCCGUCAAUUCAUAUUCGGGCCCGCGUCAGUUCCGACUGGGGCUAUUAUAGGCUACACAACACCUCGAUGCCUC
RNAcentral lists this long non-coding RNA (316 nucleotides) under Ricinus communis (castor bean). RNAcentral describes it as "long non-coding RNA (RCOM_LNC003716)". Lineage: Eukaryota; Viridiplantae; Streptophyta; Magnoliopsida; Malpighiales; Euphorbiaceae. The record is from RNAcentral.